UACGUAGGGGGCGAGCGUUGUCCGAAUUUACUGGGCGUAAAGCGCGCGUAGGCGGACCUUUAAGUGGAGGGUGAAAUCUCAGGGCUUAACCCUGAAACUGCCUUCCAAACUGGGGGUCUUGAGGUAUGGAGAGGGAAGUGGAAUUCCAGGUGUAGCGGUGAAAUGCGUAGAUAUCUGGAGGAACACCCGUGGCGAAGGCGGCUUCCUGGUCAUAUCCUGACGCUGAGGUGCGAAAGCUAGGGGAGCGAAC
This 250-nucleotide ribosomal RNA is filed under the name uncultured bacterium. RNAcentral describes it as "partial 16S ribosomal RNA". It matches the Rfam family "Bacterial small subunit ribosomal RNA", at positions 524 to 773 of the family's 1533-position model. The record is from RNAcentral.